Passer domesticus (house sparrow) is the source of this 686-nucleotide long non-coding RNA. RefSeq lists it as uncharacterized. The record is from RefSeq and is a predicted model, not a curated record. NCBI's taxonomy places the organism in Eukaryota, Metazoa, Chordata, Aves, Passeriformes, Passeridae. The transcript is spliced from 2 exons.
GGGGCGAGGGUACGGGGGGCAGAGAUGCGAGGAGCAGAGAUGCAAAGGGGAGGGAUGGGGAAAGGCAGAGAUGCGAAGGGGGCAGAGAGGCAAAGGGGAGGGCUGUAAGCGAGAGAGGUGCAAAGGGGGAGGCGAAAAGGGAGGGAUGCAAAGGGGAGGGAUGCAAAGGCAGAGGAGGAAUGCAAAGGGAAGAGGUGGACAAGACGGAGACUGCAAAAAGGGAAGAUGUGGAAGAGCAGAGACGGAAAAGCCAGGCACAGUCCGGGAUGAGUGCAGAUCCUGCCAGACACUCCCAGGACCCGGGGGAUCCACCGGCUGAUCUGAGAGGUUCUUCAGUGCAGUGUGAAUACUUUUGUGCUGUGAACUCAGCGUGGCUCUGACAAGUGCUGUAGCCAAAACCAGCUAAUCAGAGGAGCACCAAUAGAGCCAAUUACUGCUCAGGCUGCACUUGCAGCCACUCAUGCAUGUGCCACAGUUAUUCAUUCACUUCCUCUGCUUAGAUAGCCUUGUAGACUUUGAGACAGGCUCAUGAUUUUCCCAGGCAGGAGCUCUUCCUUUUUUUUUCAUACAUUUUUACAGAUAUUUAAAUAAAAUAUUUCUCCCCCUAGGCUAUGUAAUUUUCUCUGCUGUUUCUGUGGCAAUGUGGGUGAUUGAAACCUUUUAAUAAAACAUUGCUCUGCUCAGUC